UACAGGAGAUUCAGUUUCCUGUUUCCGGCCGGACUGACAGGAAGUGCACAUUGGGUGCUCACUUCCUUUCACUCCGGCCAGGAACAGGAAACUGAAUCUCCUGUU
This is a non-coding RNA of Pelobates cultripes (western spadefoot toad), 105 nucleotides long. The record is from the annotation of a GenBank genome assembly. Lineage: Eukaryota; Metazoa; Chordata; Amphibia; Anura; Pelobatidae.